This 275-nucleotide microRNA precursor is filed under the name Oryza rufipogon (brownbeard rice). RNAcentral describes it as "MIR821 microRNA precursor family". It matches the Rfam family "MIR821 microRNA precursor family". The record is from Rfam by way of RNAcentral. RNAcentral also lists the same sequence under 1 other name. Lineage: Eukaryota; Viridiplantae; Streptophyta; Magnoliopsida; Poales; Poaceae.
GAUUUCAAUUGAAAAAGUCGUCAACAACAAAGUUGAAUAACUUAUCAAGAUCUAGAACUUUUAUUUUUGUUAUUUCUUUAUCCAACAAAAUGUUAGUAAUAUUAUUCAUAAAUUUUACAUAUAUGUGUUAUAGUUUAUAAAACCAGAUAAGAGAUAUGUCAAUUUUGUGAACAAUGUUACUAUCACUUUGUCGUAUGAAGAAAUGACCAAAAUAAAAGUUUUAGAUCUUGAUGAGUUAUUCAACUUUGUUGUUGAUGACUUUUUCAAUUGAAAUC